GAUGAACGCUAGCUACAGGCUUAACACAUGCAAGUCGAGGGGAAACGAUGAGAGAGCUUGCUCUCUUAGUCGUCGACCGGCGCACGGGUGAGUAACGCGUAUCCAACCUGCCUCUGACCAAGGGAUAACCCGUCGAAAGUCGGACUAAUACCUUAUGCAGUCGUCGGAAGUCAUCUGAUGACGACGAAAGAUUUCAUCGGUGAGAGAUGGGGAUGCGUCUGAUUAGCUUGUUGGCGGGGUAACGGCCCACCAAGGCGACGAUCAGUAGGGGUUCUGAGAGGAAGGUCCCCCACAUUGGAACUGAGACACGGUCCAAACUCCUACGGGAGGCAGCAGUGAGGAAUAUUGGUCAAUGGGCGUAAGCCUGAACCAGCCAAGUAGCGUGCAGGAUGACGGCCCUAUGGGUUGUAAACUGCUUUUAUGCGGGGAUAAAGUGAGGGACGUGUCCUUCAUUGCAGGUACCGCAUGAAUAAGGACCGGCUAAUUCCGUG
RNAcentral lists this ribosomal RNA (491 nucleotides) under uncultured bacterium. Its description in RNAcentral is "partial 16S ribosomal RNA". It matches the Rfam family "Bacterial small subunit ribosomal RNA", at positions 28 to 507 of the family's 1533-position model. The record is from RNAcentral.